GAUGAACGCUAGCUACAGGCUUAACACAUGCAAGUCGAGGGGUAACAAGAGGAAAGCUUGCUUUUCUUGUUGACGACCGGCGCACGGGUGAGUAACGCGUAUCCAACCUGCCUAUAACUAGGGAAUAACCUUGCGAAAGUAAGACUAAUACCCUAUGAUUUCCUUUGAUGACAUCAGAUUAGGAAUAAAGAUUUAUCGGUUAUAGAUGGGGAUGCGUCUGAUUAGCUUGUUGGCGGGGUAACGGCCCACCAAGGCAAGGAUCAGUAGGGGUUCGGAGAGGAAGGUCCCCCACAUUGGAACUGAGGCACGGUCCAAACUCCUACGGGAGGCAGCAGUGAGGAAUAUUGGUCAAUGGGCGGAAGCCUGAACCAGCCAAGUAGCGUGCAGGAUGACGGCCCUAUGGGUUGUAAACUGCUUUUAUACAGGAAUAAAGUUAGCCACGUGUGGUUAUUUGUAGGUACUGUAUGAAUAAGGACCGGCUAAUUCCGUGCCAGCCGCCGCGGUAA
This 506-nucleotide ribosomal RNA is filed under the name uncultured bacterium. RNAcentral describes it as "partial 16S ribosomal RNA". It matches the Rfam family "Bacterial small subunit ribosomal RNA", at positions 28 to 523 of the family's 1533-position model. The record is from RNAcentral.